GUCGAACGGUAACAAGUUAAGCUGACGAGUGGCGAACGGGUGAGUAAUGUAUCGGAACGUGCCCAGUCGUGGGGGAUAACUGCUCGAAAGAGCAGCUAAUACCGCAUACGACCUGAGGGUGAAAGCGGGGGAUCGCAAGACCUCGCGCGAUUGGAGCGGCCGAUAUCAGAUUAGGUAGUUGGUGAGGUAAAGGCUCACCAAGCCGACGAUCUGUAGCUGGUCUGAGAGGACGACCAGCCACACUGGGACUGAGACACGGCCCAGACUCCUACGGGAGGCAGCAGUGGGGAAUUUUGGACAAUGGGCGCAAGCCUGAUCCAGCCAUGCCGCGUGCGGGAAGAAGGCCUUCGGGUUGUAAACCGCUUUUGUCAGGGAAGAAAAGGUUCUGGCUAAUACCUGGGACUCAUGACGGUACCUGAAGAAUAAGCACCGGCUAACUACGUGCCAGCAGCCGCGGUAAUACGUAGGGUGCAAGCGUUAAUCGGAAUUACUGGGCGUAAAGCGUGCGCAGGCGGUUAUGCAAGACAGAGGUGAAAUCCCCGGGCUCAACCUGGGAACUGCCUUUGUGACUGCAUGGCUAGAGUACGGUAGAGGGGGAUGGAAUUCCGCGUGUAGCAGUGAAAUGCGUAGAUAUGCGGAGGAACACCGAUGGCGAAGGCAAUCCCCUGGACCUGUACUGACGCUCAUGCACGA
RNAcentral lists this ribosomal RNA (693 nucleotides) under uncultured Pseudomonas sp. Its description in RNAcentral is "bacterial SSU rRNA". It matches the Rfam family "Bacterial small subunit ribosomal RNA", at positions 61 to 756 of the family's 1533-position model. The record is from RNAcentral. Lineage: Bacteria; Pseudomonadati; Pseudomonadota; Gammaproteobacteria; Pseudomonadales; Pseudomonadaceae.